GAUGAACGCUGGCGGCGUGCCUAACACACGCAAGUCGAGCGAUUCUCUUCGGAGAAGAGCGGCGGGCGGGUGAGUAACGCGUGGGUAACCUGCCCUGUACACACGGAUAACAUACCGAAAGGUAUGCUAAUACGAGAUAAUAUGCUUUUAUCGCAUGGUAGAAGUAUCAAAGCUUUUGCGGUACAGGAUGGACCCGCGUCUGAUUAGCUAGUUGGUAAGGUAACGGCUUACCAAGGCGACGAUCAGUAGCCGACCUGAGAGGGUGAUCGGCCACAUUGGAACUGAGGCACGGUCCAAACUCCUACGGGAGGCAGCAGUGGGGAAUAUUGCACAAUGGGCGAAAGCCUGAUGCAGCAACGCCGCGUGAGCGAUGAAGGCCUUCGGGUCGUAAAGCUCUGUCCUCAAGGAAGAUAAUGACGGUACUUGAGGAGGAAGCCCCGGCUAACUACGUGCCAGCAGCCGCGGUAA
Molecule: ribosomal RNA, 468 nt
Filed under: uncultured bacterium
Lineage: Bacteria
Description: partial 16S ribosomal RNA
Rfam family: Bacterial small subunit ribosomal RNA
Source: RNAcentral